CCCAGAGGGGGACAGUUGUGCACAGCCUGACUGCUGCCUGCACGGUGUUGGUGUGUGAUGCGCGGAAAGUGCGACUCGCUUUCGGCCGCAGGGAGGCGAAGGGAGCGAGAGAAACGCGUCUGGAGGAAAAGAGGGAGAUAUUGAGACAGGGAGAGAGAGAGAGGAGAGAGGAUAUAUAAAGAUGAGACGCGAGAGAAGGUGUAGAUGAAGGAUCUCCCCCCCACAUACCUUCGGCACUAAGAACAUCACCACCUCCAGCGCCUCCUCCAAGAGGCCACUUCGCCAUGAGAUUUACCAUGAGGUACCAAUACCAACGCCAGUACCAUACAGAGGGGAAGCACCGGUAGAAUGAAAGAUCUAACGGGAACUUGAUCAUGAGAAAGCAAGGG
This is a long non-coding RNA of Penaeus indicus, 389 nucleotides long. RefSeq lists it as uncharacterized. The transcript is spliced from 4 exons. The record is from RefSeq and is a predicted model, not a curated record. Lineage: Eukaryota; Metazoa; Arthropoda; Malacostraca; Decapoda; Penaeidae.